Molecule: long non-coding RNA, 702 nt
Organism: Canis lupus familiaris (dog)
Lineage: Eukaryota; Metazoa; Chordata; Mammalia; Carnivora; Canidae
Exons: 3
Source: RefSeq, a predicted model, not a curated record
UUUGGCGACAUCCCAGCCUCUGGAGCCAGAGCCAGAGCAGAACCGGCAUGUCUUUCUCAACGUUACCAUCCAAUUACUCCCCUUGUCUCUGGGAUGAAGACAUCUGCGCACAGAAAUAGUCAGCAGCAGACCUAAACUCUUGGGAUUUGCGGAAGUGGUGAAGGAAACCUGCAGGGAGAAGCCAUGCCAAAAGGAGGGCAGAGCAGAAAGACUGAAGGAGCCGUGAACAUUGGUGGUGUGGUGCAGCCAUCAUAAUGGCCCUAUUCUUGAUGGAUUUAUUUCCCAUGAAGGAAACAGAAAUCCCUCUGAGGUUGAAGCCACUGUCAUUCAGAAUUACAACUGAAGCAAUGACUCUAUCAUGGCGUGGUAGGAAAUGGUUGUAUUUUGGGUUUUCAUCUACUUGGCUGAAGAAUGGGCAGGUUUGAUCCAAGAUCACCUUGAUUAUCUCCACUGCCAAAAAAUACUUGCAAGUCAGGCAUUAAUAAGAAGAUAGUAUCUGUACCCUAUGAUUCAACUAUGUACAUGAAAUGUAAAAUAGUACUGAAUUUCUGUGGCAUGUAGUAGCUAGGCCUGUUUUUUCAACCCAGGGACAUGUUUUCUUACAUUGCUGCUCUCUCUUUGUUUUUAAUGAAAAAUGUAAUGCUAAUAAUUUGUACAAUUCGGGGAAAAAGAAUGGAGAAAUAAAGUAAAUUAUUUUCAAAA